Selaginella moellendorffii is the source of this 201-nucleotide long non-coding RNA. RefSeq lists it as uncharacterized. NCBI's taxonomy places the organism in Eukaryota, Viridiplantae, Streptophyta, Lycopodiopsida, Selaginellales, Selaginellaceae. The record is from RefSeq and is a predicted model, not a curated record. The transcript is spliced from 2 exons.
UGGCGUGCCCGAGCAUUGUUAAUGCGAAAGCAUUGGGGCUGGCUGUUGCUAAAGCCUCUAAAAUGUGAGAAUGAGCGUCAGCUCUGUAACUAUUUUAUCAACGCUCUGGUAAGAACUUUUUACACGAGCUAGCGAGCGAGCGAGAGAGGUAGAAGCUUUCUUAGCUUCGUCGCAUCACACAGGAUAAGUAGUGCUCUCCAA